RNAcentral lists this ribosomal RNA (292 nucleotides) under uncultured bacterium. RNAcentral describes it as "partial 16S ribosomal RNA". It matches the Rfam family "Bacterial small subunit ribosomal RNA", at positions 505 to 796 of the family's 1533-position model. The record is from RNAcentral.
GUGACAGCAGCCGCGGUAAGACAGAGGGUGCAAACGUUGUUCGGAAUUACUGGGCGUAAAGCGAGUGUAGGCGGUCUGCUAAGUCGGGUGUGAAAGCCCCGGGCUCAACCCGGGAAGUGCACUCGAAACUGGCAGGCUAGAGUAUCGGAGAGGUUGGUGGAAUUCUCGGUGUAGAGGUGAAAUUCGUAGAUAUCGAGAGGAACACCGGUGGCGAAGGCGGCCAACUGGACGAAUACUGGCGCUGAGACUCGAAAGCGUGGGGAGCAAACAGGAUUAGAUACCCUUGUAGUCC